RNAcentral lists this long non-coding RNA (844 nucleotides) under Homo sapiens (human). Its description in RNAcentral is "non-protein coding FAM95C:11". The record is from RNAcentral. Lineage: Eukaryota; Metazoa; Chordata; Mammalia; Primates; Hominidae.
CUCCAACCCUUGGGCCAGGCUGCCCAUGUGGGGCCAGGAGGCAGCUCAGAGUGGGAGGCAGAGAGAGAAGUGUGCUCAGAGGGCACCUGUAUCUGGAUGUAAUGUGGUCCUGAGACUCUGGCUGGGAAGUGCUUCCAGGGUAUCAUAUGUGUUAUGCAGCUACUUCCUCUCCCCAGCCUUACCCUGUAGGAAUUCUAGUGACUAUGUUGCCACCAUCUUGGAGCUCCAUGCCCUCAUAGUGUAAUGGCACCAGCAGAUCUGCCUGUGCACAGACUUCCUGUACUACCUCACUCCUGAGGGGAGAUGCUUCUGCGGGCCUGCGACCUGGUGCUCAACUUUAGACACCAUCAUCCUGGAGCGGCACUGCACCCUCACUAGCCAGGGUGUUGACGUCCUCAAGGCCAAGGCCACAUUCAAGACUUUGGACUUCAUUGAUGCACUUGUGCCGAGCAAGCUUAUCUGAUCUUCUGGGAUCUCUACUAGGAUGCUGGCAGCCCAGCCAGCUGGUCUGGCCCUGGACGUGCCUUCAGGGGCUGGGUAUGCUUCAUGACCUGUGUUUUGAUCCUGGUUGGAGUAAAACAUUCCAUGGGAACUCGGGCUGUGAGAAAUGUCCUAACCACCUGACUGCAGAAACAUCCUUAUCACAUCCUGCUGGGCAAAGGCCCAACAGCCUGACUUCAGGAACAUCCUUAUCAUCUUCUACUGAGCAGCAAGCUAUACUGUCCAGAGCCCUCCCUCCCAGCGCUAUGAUUACCCCAGCCUGUGAGCGGCAGUGGGCACUGACACUAAGCUGGUUUCCCCCUCCGCAGGGUUUUGCUAGUAAUAAACCUGUGUUGCUGUUGAA